This 213-nucleotide unclassified non-coding RNA is filed under the name Hevea brasiliensis (rubber tree). The record is from RNAcentral. Lineage: Eukaryota; Viridiplantae; Streptophyta; Magnoliopsida; Malpighiales; Euphorbiaceae.
UGAUAACAAUUUUGAAGCACGGGUAUGCCUGUUUCUGCAAAAUCUAAGUUUUUUUUAGGAACCAUGAUUUGCUGUAGAGAAAAUUGCAAAUGCCUUUUGACUGCUGAUGGAAUAUUUCACCCUGUCAUGUGUAGUGUCUUCCUGGCAAUUGGCAUAUCAUAUUUUAGAGAAUAGCUGAUGUGUCCUGUUACAAUGCCUUAGCAAAUAAAGCUG